CCUACGGGAGGCAGCAGUAGGGAAUCUUGCGCAAUGGGCGAAAGCCUGACGCAGCCAUGCCGCGUGAAUGAUGAAGGUCUUAGGAUUGUAAAAUUCUUUCACCGGGGAAGAUAAUGACGGUACCCGGAGAAGAAGCCCCGGCUAACUUCGUGCCAGCAGCCGCGGUAAUACGAAGGGGGGCUAGCGUUGCUCGGAAUUACUGGGCGUAAAGGGCGCGUAGGCGGAUAGUUUAGUCAGAGGUGAAAGCCCAGGGCUCAACCUUGGAACUGCCUUUGAUACUGGCUAUCUUGAGUUCGGGAGAGGUGAGUGGAAUGCCGAGUGUAGAGGUGAAAUUCGUAGAUAUUCGGCGGAACACCAGUGGCGAAGGCGACUCACUGGCCCGAUACUGACGCUGAGGCGCGAAAGCGUGGGGAGCAAACAGGAUUAGAUACCCUGGUAGUCCACGCUGUAAACGAUGAGUGCUAGUUGUCGGCAUGCAUGCAUGUCGGUGACGCAGCUAACGCAUUAAGCACUCCGCCUGGGGAGUACGGUCGCAAGAUUAAAACUCAAAGAGUAGUAGGCGUGAGAGAGCGACGACGACGACGACGGAGGAGG
Molecule: ribosomal RNA, 594 nt
Filed under: uncultured bacterium
Lineage: Bacteria
Description: bacterial SSU rRNA
Rfam family: Bacterial small subunit ribosomal RNA
Source: RNAcentral